UUUUUUUUGGUUUCACACUUGAGCUUUAAUUGGCCUAAACUGAACCUUGUCCCCUCCAGUUUGUUCCAUAUUAUCCUCUAAAAUCUUGGGCAUUUAUCUACCUUUUCAUUUGCUGUGUGCUAUACGGAGCAAACAUGAAAAUUAACUAAGAUCACUGCACUAAUUAAUCCUGCAGAUUGUAAAGUUAACUUGACUAGUUGAUAACACUGACUGUGAGAUGUGUGGCUGCAUUUGGCAAAUUGAUAUAGUUUAUUGUCUAACAUGUCGCAACUCCGAGUAAUUUGUUAUGAACUGUCUUAUUUCUCUGGAGCAUAGCAGAAAGCUGGCUGUCCUUAGUUAGUAUAAAAUAUUGAAUGUUGGUGUGAAGUACAAACAUGUUGCUCAUGGUUAGUAUUAGUUAAGACACCCAUCAACCACCUUGUACUGUUUUCUUGAUAUGUUUGUAUGCAACAUUCUUCUCUUUUAACUCGUCCAGUUUACCGCUAUUGUUCUAUUUGGUAGUAAUGUGGAUGAUAUGUCUACAGUUGUAUUUGCCAACC
This 539-nucleotide long non-coding RNA is filed under the name Nicotiana benthamiana. Its description in RNAcentral is "long non-coding RNA (NBEN_LNC002361)". The record is from RNAcentral. Lineage: Eukaryota; Viridiplantae; Streptophyta; Magnoliopsida; Solanales; Solanaceae.